Molecule: ribosomal RNA, 576 nt
Filed under: uncultured eukaryote
Lineage: Eukaryota
Description: SSU rRNA
Rfam family: Eukaryotic small subunit ribosomal RNA
Source: RNAcentral
UAAAAACCCCGACUUCGGAAGGGGUGUAUUUAUUAGAUACAAAACCAAUGCCCCUCGGGGCUCUUUGGUGAUUCAUGAUAACUAUACGAAUCGCACGGCCUUGCGCCGGCGAUGGUUCAUUCAAAUUUCUUCCCUAUCAACUUUCGAUGUUUGGGUAUUGGCCAAACAUGGUUGCAACGGGUAACGGAGGGUUAGGGCUCGACCCCGGAGAAGGAGCCUGAGAAACGGCUACUACAUCCAAGGAAGGCAGCAGGCGCGCAAACUACCCAAUCCCGACUCGGGGAGGUAGUGACAAUAAAUACAGAUACAGGGCCCUUUCGGGCCUUGUAAUUGGAAUGAGUACAAUUUAAAUCCCUUAACGAGGAACAAUUGGAGGGCAAGUCUGGUGCCAGCAGCCGCGGUAAUUCCAGCUCCAAUAGCGUAUAUUAAAGUUGUUGUGGUUAAAAAGCUCGUAGUUGAACCUUGGGCCUGGCUGGCCGGUCCGCCUCACCGCGUGCACUGGUCCGGCCGGGCCUUUCCCUCUGUGGAACCCCAUACCCUUCACUGGGCGUGGCGGGGAAACAGGACAUUUACUUU